This 374-nucleotide ribosomal RNA is filed under the name uncultured eukaryote. Its description in RNAcentral is "partial 18S ribosomal RNA". It matches the Rfam family "Eukaryotic small subunit ribosomal RNA", at positions 592 to 976 of the family's 1831-position model. The record is from RNAcentral.
CAAGAGCGUAUGUAAAAGUUGUUGCAGUUAAAAAGCUCGUAGUUGAACCUUGGGUUUGGUUGGCCGGUCCGCUUUUUUGCGAGUACUGGAUUCAACCGAGCCUUUCCUUCUGGCUAACCAGUCGUUUCGGCGGCUGGCGAACCAGGAUUUUUACUUUGAGAAAAUUAGAGUGUUCAAAGCAGGCGUUAGCUUGAAUAUAUUAGCAUGGAAUAAUAGAAUAGGACGUUAUGGUUCUAUUUUGUUGGUUUCUAGGACCAUCGUAAUGAUUAAUAGGGACGGUCGGGGGCAUCAGUAUUCAGUUGUCAGAGGUGAAAUUCUUGGAUUUACUGAAGACUAACUACUGCGAAAGCAUUUGCCAAGGACGUUUUCAUUAA